RNAcentral lists this long non-coding RNA (503 nucleotides) under Homo sapiens (human). RNAcentral describes it as "HSALNT0082168". The record is from RNAcentral. Lineage: Eukaryota; Metazoa; Chordata; Mammalia; Primates; Hominidae.
CCAGAAUCAAUAUAACGUGUCCUUAUAUUUCAGCCAUUUCAGCACAAAAAACAUUCCACUAAGUAUUUUAGACUAUAUAGGUGCAAUUUAAUGCUUUCCAGGUAUAGCCCGAAUCCUGGGAGAUUAACAUUCUCCAGAUAUAAGUGCACAACUGCUAUCAGGUCCCUUUAUAUUUAUUCUUUUUUUGAAAGGAUAUCGUUUUUUAGAAACACAAAUAAAUUAUUCCGCAAGGCAAGCACUUGUUAUCCACCAGACGCUAUUUUAAGACUUCAAAAAUAUAUGACUAAUAAAAUAUGUUUCCCUCAAGUUGCUCAGGGUCUCAUAUCAAUGAUAAACUUAGUCCAAAUUUAAAAGACAAUGCAAAUUUGAUAUUUAUGGGAUAAAUAUUACAAACCCAUGCUGUUGAAAUUAGUCCUCCAAAAAGCUGUAGUCUUUUUACUUGUUGAAAGGUCUGGGGAAAUCAUCUUGUAGUAUGGUGAGAAAAGGAUUUGGGUCAGGAAACA